Molecule: long non-coding RNA, 3013 nt
Filed under: Gallus gallus (chicken)
Lineage: Eukaryota; Metazoa; Chordata; Aves; Galliformes; Phasianidae
Description: lncRNA (ENSGALG00010003088.1)
Source: RNAcentral
UAAACAAAACACCUCCCUCAGUCCCUGUUGUCUGACUACCUGAAGCACUCGGGAGUUAUCUCUACCAGUCUCCCUGCUAUGGUGCUCGCCAAACCUUUUGUUCUCAUUCAGUGUCAUGAGAUUCCUUUUAGAAAUUAAAAAAUCCCACCAUGGCAGAUGCAUUUUACUGAAUAAAUUGUUUGAAUUUGCUCAAGUCUGGGAAACUUGAGGUCACCUGUUAAUUUUUUGAAGGGGUAGGACUGACAACAGAUUCACCCAAGCUCAUUUCGCACUGUGAUGUUCCCAGCAGAGUCAAGGUUGGCCUCCACCAGCACGGCAUGGGCAGCACUGGUCUGUAGCAGGGCUCUGGUCCCUACAUUUGGUGUCUCUGUGCCCACUGCGGUUGCAGUGUCCAUCCUUCCCUUAUGGGACAGAAUGCAAAACACUGAAGGGGAUGCUGGAAAACAAGAUGUUUGUGCCAGGUUUUCUUGCACGCUGUUUUAUUUCUAGCAUUGUUGCUUUUGACACUCAAUGAAGUUAGAAAAUGUGAUCAGCUCACUGAGGAGGCCUCAAGUUUUAUUGUCUGCUUGGUGGGAAUAAGGAUGGUGCAUAAUUCCAUUGUUUUGAAAGCUCUAAUCUAGAAACCCAGACAAGCCUAUAUUUCUUUUAAACAAGUAUCUGAUUUAUUUUUAAGCAAUCCGAGUUAAAAAGGAACUAGGAUUGAAGUUAUACAGUCAUCAUUAAUGAAAUUUUAUAUGGAAUAGCAUUUCACAUACAAAAUAAUUAAGUCUCUGUGUUGAUAAAGGAUUAACCGAAUCUUUAGUAUUCCUUUCUGAAUGGCAGCUUCAGUCUUCAGAUAGAUUGCCUUUGAAGUCAAUAGGAGAAGCCACGUGUUCAUCAAAAUAUGGAAGUUAUCUUUGUCAUUAACCUUGAGAAGCUUCAUCGAUUACUGGCAAUCCAGUUUGACUUGAGAGGAGCCCUGUCACCAAGGUGAUCGUGCAGCUGGUUUUCCAAUGUUUCUAAUACUCACUAAAUUUCUAUGAGCUUUCUAUUGAACUCCUAUUUCUUCUGAUACUGGCUCAGCAAUUGGAUCACCCCCGUGGCCAUUUAAGUAUAAGAUAGUUAGCAAGCCUACAUUUUAGAUUAACUGUACAGCAAAACAGUGUUGCAUGUCAUCACACAAAAACAUUCCUGAGUGCUGAAGGGUUGGUUGGCUGUUCUUGCAGGCUGUUCUCCCUGGCAUUGAAACACCUGUGUGGGUGCAGUCAGACCUGUGGGAGGCUGUGAUAAUGGAUGACGAAUUAAGUCCGAAGUCUUCUUCCUGAAAUGGGGUUGGCUGGCUGAGCUCCUGGACGUCACAGCUCCCUCUGUACAGCCACAGAGAUAGUUGCCUGUAGCACCUCCAGCCCUACUGUCACAGCUUCAGAUGUCAUUUGUUUCCAAAUAACGAGGCACAUCCCGUUGUGAUGUUCUGAUCCAGCAAACAGCCUCCGCUCUUCUUGUUCACUGGGGAAUGUACAUGCCUUGUGGAAGCUACUGCAGCAACAUUGAAGAGAAGGGAGUUCUCACAAUUGAAGCCAGCAGCCCUAUUUGUCUCUUCUGCUGAAGGAAAGCUAAACAUGCAAAUCGGGCAGGCGGCUGAGGAUCGUAAAAGGACGAGCAGGGUGCAAUAUACACAGGGAGGAAAACAAAGAGAGAUGAGUCCUGACAGCAGAGAAAUUAUACCUGGCUUCAUGUGAGGGCACAGACCUGGCCCUGGCUGCCCCAAGAUCACUGCACACUGCCAGCCAAGCUGUUCUCAUGCUUAAUUUACAGCCUGCAAGGUUCAUGCACCACCUAAUGAAAAAUCGCGAUGGGAACUUUGCAGGAGAAAGUAGGACAGUUGGCACAUUAUUCACAUUUCAGCAGAGGAGGGGAGAGCUCCUUUUGCCUCGAGAACUGACCUCAUGGUGGUUUGACCUGCACAGAGGGCUGUCAUCGGGGCUUUAUGAUCAUUCCAAUUUGGAUUGUAACGUUAUGCUGAAAGUAACACUGGACUCUAUUAUCUUGCUUUGCCCUUUCCAUAAUUCAACGCCAUGUUUGCAGCAUAGCAGCAGUUCGAGGAGUUUGAGAAGUUUUGGUGGAGGUAGUCCAGCCUCGAUGCUGAGCAUUGCUCAGCAGCAUCGUUCACUCUGGAUACAUCUCACGUGUGGGAAAAACAAUAAGAAUUACCUCAAGAUUACUCAUGUCCUCAAUUAGAAAUUGUUUUUCUCCUGUGACUUGUGUUGUUGGUAGCUGAAAUGGCUGUUCACACUACAAGUGGCCUUUUAUUCACCUGCCUUCAAGCACCCAGAGGCACCAACCAACUCCUUCCCUCCUUCCAUGAGGUUCUCUCUCUCUCUGUGGCUGAUAUUACCAAACUGAUAUCUUUAUUCUCACUGAUUUCAGGUGAAGCUUCUUUCUCCCCGUGAGUACCCAUCAGUCACUUCUCCAUUCAAGAGGCAGAACAUUGCUACCCAGACCUGCAUCUAAAAAGUACGAUUUUCUUGACAACACCAGUUGUUUCUCGCAGUCCACGUUCAGAAGGUCCCAUGGACAGAAUUACACUUUAUCCACUUGAACUUUCAUAGUUUCCAGAAGUUCAUACGAUCUUUUCCAAACUCCCCAUGUUACACAAUUUCCUUGUUCUUUGGAGCAACCUCUCAGGCAGAAGGGUAUUACUAUAUCUAUAGCUGUAGUCCCAGGUAAUUGAAUUCUCCUCUUCCUCUACAAUUUGGCUCUGAAUCACGUUCUUUUUAAAUAAUAAAGUAAAAUACAAAAUAAACAUGACUACACAUAUCUGUUUUGUUUGACACAGGUCUCAGUAACAGAAAAUGGGAUUUUACUCUGCUAAUAAACUGGUAGAGUUUGCCCUUUCCUAUGAUGCACAUGUGCCUCAUAGGUGAAUUUAUCUCCCUGCAUCUUAGCACUUUAAAGCAGUAAUAAAAGAUGCUGAAGGCUCUGUGACUUAGGAAUAUGUCUAACUAAGAACAAUUUUCUCACAAACCAAUUUUCG